RNAcentral lists this non-coding RNA (23 nucleotides) under Arabidopsis thaliana (thale cress). Lineage: Eukaryota; Viridiplantae; Streptophyta; Magnoliopsida; Brassicales; Brassicaceae. The record is from RNAcentral.
CGUAACUUCGGGAAAAGGAUUGG